RNAcentral lists this ribosomal RNA (489 nucleotides) under uncultured bacterium. RNAcentral's name for it is "partial 16S ribosomal RNA". It matches the Rfam family "Bacterial small subunit ribosomal RNA", at positions 30 to 506 of the family's 1533-position model. The record is from RNAcentral.
AUUGAACGCUGGCGGCAGGCCUAACACAUGCAAGUCGAACGGUAACAGGAAGAAGCUUGCUUCUUUGCUGACGAGUGGCGGACGGGUGAGUAAUGUCUGGGAAACUGCCUGAUGGAGGGGGAUAACUACUGGAAACGGUAGCUAAUACCGCAUAACGUCGCAAGACCAAAGAGGGGGACCUUCGGGCCUCUUGCCAUCGGAUGUGCCCAGAUGGGAUUAGCUAGUAGGUGGGGUAACGGCUCACCUAGGCGACGAUCCCUAGCUGGUCUGAGAGGAUGACCAGCCACACUGGAACUGAGACACGGUCCAGACUCCUACGGGAGGCAGCAGUGGGGAAUAUUGCACAAUGGGCGCAAGCCUGAUGCAGCCAUGCCGCGUGGAUGGAGAAGGCCUUCGGGUUGUAAAGUACUUUCAGCGGGGAGGAAGAGAGUAAAGUUAAUACCUUUGCUCAUUGACGUUACCCGCAGAAGAAGCACCGGCUAACUCCGU